CUCUUCCUCGCUGUCUGAGUCUCCCAAGAGCCUCUUUGCCUGGCUUUUCUGCUUACAGCUCCUCUCCUCCCUAGCUGACUUUCUCCGGCCAUUGCUCCUGGUUCUGGGUUUCCAAUCCCCCUUUUCCUCAUCCUCUUCUUUCUCUUCCUCCUCCACUUCCUCCUCUCUCUGCUCUUUCUUCUGGGCUAGGAUCUCCUCUUCACUCUCCUGUUCACUUUCCUUCAGGCUUUUAGUUCCUUUAUUUCCCUCCACCUUCUUUGCUGUCCUCUGAAC
Molecule: long non-coding RNA, 273 nt
Filed under: Homo sapiens (human)
Lineage: Eukaryota; Metazoa; Chordata; Mammalia; Primates; Hominidae
Description: lncAB221.1
Source: RNAcentral